AGAGUUUGAUCCUGGCUCAGGAUGAACGCUAGCUACAGGCUUAACACAUGCAAGUCGAGGGGAAACGAUAGAGAAAGCUUGCUUUUUCUAGGCGUCGACCGGCGCACGGGUGAGUAACGCGUAUCCAACCUGCCCAUCACUUGGGGAUAACCUUGCGAAAGUAAGACUAAUACCCAAUGACGUCCAUAGAAGACAUCUGAAGGAGAUUAAAGAUUUAUCGGUGAUGGAUGGGGAUGCGUCUGAUUAGCUUGUUGGCGGGGUAACGGCCCACCAAGGCGACGAUCAGUAGGGGUUCUGAGAGGAAGGUCCCCCACAUUGGAACUGAGACACGGUCCAAACUCCUACGGGAGGCAGCAGUGAGGAAUAUUGGUCAAUGGACGAGAGUCUGAACCAGCCAAGUAGCGUGCAGGAUGACGGCCCUAUGGGUUGUAAACUGCUUUUAUAAGGGAAUAAAGUGAGUCUCGUGAGACUUUUUGCAUGUACCUUAUGAAUAAGGACCGGCUAAUUCCGUGCCAGCAGCCGCGGUAAUACGGAAGGUCCGGGCGUUAUCCGGAUUUAUUGGGUUUAAAGGGAGCGUAGGCCGGAGAUUAAGCGUGUUGUGAAAUGUAGACGCUCAACGUCUGCACUGCAGCGCGAACUGGUUUCCUUGAGUACGCACAAAGUGGGCGGAAUUCGUGGUGUAGCGGUGAAAUGCUUAGAUAUCACGAAGAACUCCGAUUGCGAAGGCAGCUCACUGGAGCGCAACUGACGCUGAAGCUCGAAAGUGCGGGUAUCGAACAGGAUUAGAUACCCUGGUAGUCCGCACGGUAAACGAUGGAUGCCCGCUGUUGGUCUGAAUAGGUCAGCGGCCAAGCGAAAGCAUUAAGCAUCCCACCUGGGGAGUACGCCGGCAACGGUGAAACUCAAAUGAAUUGACGG
Molecule: ribosomal RNA, 918 nt
Filed under: uncultured bacterium
Lineage: Bacteria
Description: bacterial SSU rRNA
Rfam family: Bacterial small subunit ribosomal RNA
Source: RNAcentral